AAUUUUCCGCAAUGGGCGAAAGCCUGACGGAGCAAUACCGCGUGGAGGAUGACGGCCUGUGGGUCUUAAACUCCUUUUCUUAGAGAAGAAGUUCUGACGGUAUCUAAGGAAUAAGCAUCGGCCAACUCCGUGCCAGCAGCCGCGGUAAUACGGGGGAUGCAAGCGUUAUCCGGAAUGAUUGGGCGUAAAGCGUCUGUAGGUGGCUUCCCAAGUCAACUGUCAAAAACCAAGGCUUAACCUUGGGCCGGCAGUUGAAACUAUGAAGCUUGAGUUAGGUAGGGGCAGAGGGAAUUCCUAGUGUAGUGGUGAAAUGCGUAGAUAUUAGGAAGAACACCAACCGCGAAAGCACUCUGCUGGGCCAUAACUGACACUCAGAGACGAAAGCUAGGGGAGCGAAUGGGAUUAGAUACCCCAGUAGUCCUAGCCGUA
This 429-nucleotide ribosomal RNA is filed under the name uncultured marine bacterium. RNAcentral describes it as "bacterial SSU rRNA". It matches the Rfam family "Bacterial small subunit ribosomal RNA", at positions 360 to 804 of the family's 1533-position model. The record is from RNAcentral.